Molecule: ribosomal RNA, 925 nt
Filed under: uncultured Lysobacterales bacterium
Lineage: Bacteria; Pseudomonadati; Pseudomonadota; Gammaproteobacteria; Lysobacterales
Description: bacterial SSU rRNA
Rfam family: Bacterial small subunit ribosomal RNA
Source: RNAcentral
GAGUUUGAUCGUGGCUCAGAGUGAACGCUGGCGGUAGGCCUAACACAUGCAAGUCGAACGGUAACAGGUCUUUCGGGAUGCUGACGAGUGGCGGACGGGUGAGGAAUACAUCGGAAUCUGCUCAGUCGUGGGGGAUAACGCAUGGAAACGUGCGCUAAUACCGCAUACGACCUUCGGGUGAAAGCAGGGGAAUCUCUCGGGAUCCUUGCGCGAUUGAAUGAGCCGAUGUCGGAUUAGCUAGUUGGUAGGGUAAAAGCCUACCAAGGCCACGAUCCGUAGCUGGUCUGAGAGGAUGAUCAGCCACACUGGGACUGAGACACGGCCCAGACUCCUGCGGGAGGCAGCAGUGGGGAAUAUUGGACAAUGGGGGCAACCCUGAUCCAGCCAUACCGCGUGGGUGAAGAAGGCCUUCUGGGUUGUAAAGCCCUUUUGUUGGGGAAGAAAAACAACGGGUUAAUACCCCGUUGGUAUGACGGUACCCAAAGAAUAAGCACCGGCUAACUUCGUGCCAGCAGCCGCGGUAAUACGAAGGGUGCAAGCGUUACUCGGAAUUACUGGGCGUAAAGGGUGCGUAGGUGGUUGCGCCAGUCUGUCGUGAAAGCCCUGGGCUUAACCUGGGAAUGGCGAUGGAAACUGUGCAACUAGAGUGUGACAGAGGGUGGUGGAAUUCCUGGUGUAGCAGUGAAAUGCGUAGAGAUCAGGAGGAACAUUCGUGGCGAAGGCGGCCACCUGGGUCAACACGGACACUGAGGCACGAAAGCGUGGGGAGCAAACAGGAUUAGAUACCCUGGUAGUCCACGCCCUAAACGAUGCGAACUGGAUGUUGGGUCCAACUUGGGAUUCAGUAUCGAAGCUAACGCGUUAAGUUCGCCGCCCGGGGAGUACGGUCGCAAGACUGAAGCUCAAAGGAAUUGACGGGGGCCCG